Molecule: ribosomal RNA, 253 nt
Filed under: uncultured bacterium
Lineage: Bacteria
Description: partial 16S ribosomal RNA
Rfam family: Bacterial small subunit ribosomal RNA
Source: RNAcentral
AACGUAGGUACCGAGCGUUAUCCGGAUUUACUGGGCGUAAAGCGCGUUCAGGCGGCUUGGCAAGUCGGGCAUGAAAUCUCUCGGCUCAACCGGGAGGGGCUGUCCGAUACUGCUGGGCUUGAGGGCAGGAGAGGGUGGUGGAAUUCCGGGUGUAGUGGUGAAAUGCGUAGAGAUCCGGAGGAACACCAGUGGCGAAAGCGGCCACCUGGCCUGCACCUGACGCUCCAACGCGAAAGCUAGGGGAGCGAACGGG